RNAcentral lists this ribosomal RNA (497 nucleotides) under uncultured bacterium. RNAcentral's name for it is "partial 16S ribosomal RNA". It matches the Rfam family "Bacterial small subunit ribosomal RNA", at positions 28 to 507 of the family's 1533-position model. The record is from RNAcentral.
GACGAACGCUGGCGGCAUGCCUAACACAUGCAAGUCGAACGGAGAUUAUUUCGGUACUCUUAGUGGCGCACGGGUGAGUAACGCGUGGGCAACCUGCCCUCUAGAUGGGGACAACAUCCCGAAGGGGGUCCAAUAACCGAUGUGGCAGCAAAUUCCGCAUAGGGUUGCGUGGAAGGAGGCCUCCUUUUUUAAACCUAUGCUUAGAGAAGGGCCCUCGUCUGAUUUGCUAGUUGGUGGGGUAACGGCCUACCAAGGCGAUGAUUAGUAGCCGGUCUGAGAGGAUGAACGGCCACAUUGGGACUGAGACACGGCCCAGACUCCUACGGGAGGCAGCAGUGGGGAAUCUUCCGCAAUGGGCGAAAGCCUGACGGAGCAAUGCCGCGUGAGUGAUGAAGGAAUUCGUUCCGUAAAGCUCUUUUGUUUAUGACGAAUGUGCAGAUUGUGAACAAUGAUCUGUAAUGACGGUAGUAAACGAAUAAGCCACGGCUAACUACGUG